This 254-nucleotide ribosomal RNA is filed under the name uncultured bacterium. RNAcentral's name for it is "partial 16S ribosomal RNA". It matches the Rfam family "Bacterial small subunit ribosomal RNA", at positions 524 to 777 of the family's 1533-position model. The record is from RNAcentral.
UACGAAGGGGGCUAGCGUUGUUCGGAUUUACUGGGCGUAAAGCGCACGUAGGCGGACUAUUAAGUCAGGGGUGAAAUCCUGGAGCUCAACUCCAGAACUGCCUUUGAUACUGGGGAUCUCGAGUCCGGAAGAGGUGAGUGGAACUCCGAGUGUAGAGGUGAAAUUCGUAGAUAUUCGGAAGAACACCAGUGGCGAAGGCGGCUCACUGGCCCGAUACUGACGCUGAGGCACGAAAGCGUGGGGAGCAAACAGGG